Long non-coding RNA from Ruditapes philippinarum (Manila clam), 523 nucleotides. RefSeq lists it as uncharacterized. The record is from RefSeq and is a predicted model, not a curated record. The transcript is spliced from 4 exons. Lineage: Eukaryota; Metazoa; Mollusca; Bivalvia; Venerida; Veneridae.
CAACUUCCUUCUCAAUCCGUACUUAUAACCUAUAAAAAGGAUAUGAUGCACAAACUUUCCUCGUACAUAAUUUGCGUGUGAAAAGCACUCAGAAUCAUUGUGUAGAAAUAGGAUACCGUAUUCCGGUGUUAAAAUGUUUGCAACCUUUGUCAAUUUGGAAGUACCAUUUUAAGGUGUUAUCUAUGCAAAUAGUCACAUCACUGUUUUGAUGAUGAAGUAUUUCAAAUAUCGACGUUAAAAUUUUGUUACUUGCUUUCGUUCUUUUUUACGGUAUAUGGGAGACAAGCUGCUGUGAUAAAAGUUGCACUACAUCUGGAGAGAAUAGUUCCUGUAAUAUGAGAAAGCGUAGAUCUGCAGAUCCCAGGAACGUGACGAAAACAGAAAUUCUCAAAAGGAUUGGAACACAAUUUAGCAUAAUGCUUGAAGAUAAUCCAUGCGUAUUUGAAACCUACGACAUUGAUGGAGACGGACUUAUCCUUAGAGAAGAAACUCGAAUCUAUAUUUUGGUGUGAAAAAGGAAACG